This 842-nucleotide ribosomal RNA is filed under the name uncultured Pseudoalteromonas sp. RNAcentral describes it as "bacterial SSU rRNA". It matches the Rfam family "Bacterial small subunit ribosomal RNA", at positions 24 to 862 of the family's 1533-position model. The record is from RNAcentral. Lineage: Bacteria; Pseudomonadati; Pseudomonadota; Gammaproteobacteria; Alteromonadales; Pseudoalteromonadaceae.
UCAGAUUGAACGCUGGCGGCAGGCCUAACACAUGCAAGUCGAGCGGUAACAGAAAGUAGCUUGCUACUUUGCUGACGAGCGGCGGACGGGUGAGUAAUGCUUGGGAACAUGCCUUGAGGUGGGGGACAACAGUUGGAAACGACUGCUAAUACCGCAUAACGUCUACGGACCAAAGGGGGCUUCGGCUCUCGCCUUUAGAUUGGCCCAAGUGGGAUUAGCUAGUUGGUGAGGUAAUGGCUCACCAAGGCGACGAUCCCUAGCUGGUUUGAGAGGAUGAUCAGCCACACUGGGACUGAGACACGGCCCAGACUCCUACGGGAGGCAGCAGUGGGGAAUAUUGCACAAUGGGCGCAAGCCUGAUGCAGCCAUGCCGCGUGUGUGAAGAAGGCCUUCGGGUUGUAAAGCACUUUCAGUCAGGAGGAAAGGUUAGUAGUUAAUACCUGCUAGCUGUGACGUUACUGACAGAAGAAGCACCGGCUAACUCCGUGCCAGCAGCCGCGGUAAUACGGAGGGUGCGAGCGUUAAUCGGAAUUACUGGGCGUAAAGCGUACGCAGGCGGUUUGUUAAGCGAGAUGUGAAAGCCCCGGGCUCAACCUGGGAACUGCAUUUCGAACUGGCAAACUAGAGUGUGAUAGAGGGUGGUAGAAUUUCAGGUGUAGCGGUGAAAUGCGUAGAGAUCUGAAGGAAUACCGAUGGCGAAGGCAGCCACCUGGGUCAACACUGACGCUCAUGUACGAAAGCGUGGGGAGCAAACGGGAUUAGAUACCCCGGUAGUCCACGCCGUAAACGAUGUCUACUAGAAGCUCGGGUCCUCGGACUUGUUUUUCAAAGCUAACGCAUUA